This is a long non-coding RNA of Hemicordylus capensis (graceful crag lizard), 1243 nucleotides long. RefSeq lists it as uncharacterized. The record is from RefSeq and is a predicted model, not a curated record. The transcript is spliced from 6 exons. NCBI's taxonomy places the organism in Eukaryota, Metazoa, Chordata, Lepidosauria, Squamata, Cordylidae.
UUCAAGGAGUGAUUUUCAAAGAGAUUUAAAGAGGCAGCAGUCACCUUUCUGCCUCGAGGGAGAAGAGAGAGAGAGCUUUGCUUUGCUUUUGCUUUUGCUUUGCCUUCCUUUACCUAUUGUUCUGCUUUGCCAGCCUGCCUUGCUUGCCAGUUCCACCCAGCCUGCCAGUGCCUGUGCCAGCCUGGGGUGGAUUCUCUGCUGCAUUCAUUGCUUUUUUGUAGAGAAAAAGAGAAUUAUACAGAAGAAAAAAGAAUUCUAUCUGAUUCUCUUUUCACCCCUUCCUGCUGCUGAGAGAAUCACUGCCUGCCUGUGCCAGCUACCAGCCCCAGAUCGCCUGCAGCCACUGGCCACCUGGCCAGACAGCCACCCCCUUCCCCCCACCCUAGGUUUUCCAGGCUUUUGCCCCAGCCCCCACCCCAUCUGAAGACUGAAGAAGAUUGAAGAAGAAAGAGUAGACUCUCAGAGACCAGACCACAGAAGAGGAAUACUAGACGCAGCAUGGGUGAAGCCUUAGACUGAGCUGGGGCUGAAGCACCAGUGGUGAAAUGGCUGAUGGAUGGGGUAGAACCUGGACAACUCUUAAUACCACCUACAACUCAAUAAGCAGAAUGAAGACUAAGUCAGACAGGGGCAACUUUAGAACAACUAGUUUCGAGGAACAAAGGAGUGACAACAUUUUUGGGCACUGAGGAUUUUGCUAUCCAUACGCAUAGAGGUAAGUUGAUAGAAAGCAUCAUUCAAGAGAAAAUCAUCAACAUGGGCCUACCCCCUGCCCGCCCGCCCUGUUGGUCAUGAGUAUAGUAAGUUGACAGAAAGCAUCAUUCAACAGAAAACCAUCAAACAUACAGAAGAGCAAGCAUUGCUGAGAAAGAACCAACAUGACUUCUGCAAGGCAUAGAUUGGAGAAUAUUUGCUCCAAGAACAGCAGCACAACAGGACUGGUCUUCCUUAAAAAGAAAGCAUCAUAGAAGUAAAGCCACCUGAGACUGCUGUAGUAGGAGAUUGAUCCAAGAGAGAAAGAUUCUAAAAAGCUUGUCAGCUACUCAUGACUGCAUGAAACAGCCUCCCCAACACACCAAAUAAAGGAUCAGCAACACAGUUUCUGGCCUUGAAAGAACACAGACAAAGCCUAGAAGAAUUCUGGAAGCCAGAGGAGAAGCUGACAACAUUCCAAUAUCAUCCAUCAGCUUAUUUAUUUGUUUUCUAUUAUAUUUAUAUAUAAAUAUAUUUAUAAAUACAUAUG